UUAAGUUCCCCGCCUGGGGAGUACGGCCGCAAGGCUAAAACUCAAAGGAAUUGACGGGGACCCGCACAAGCGGCGGAGCAUGCGGAUUAUUCGAUGCAACGCGAAGAACCUUACCAAGGCUUGACAUACACCAGAACACCGUAGAAAUACGGGACUCUUUGGACACUGGUGAACAGGUGGUGCAUGGUUGUCGUCAGCUCGUGUCGUGAGAUGUUGGGUUAAGUCCCGCAACGAGCGCAACCCUCGUUCUUGUUGCCAGCACGUUAUGGUGGGAACUCAUGGGAUACUGCCGGGGUCAACUCGGAGGAAGGUGGGGAUGACGUCAAAUCAUCAUGCCCCUAUGUCUUGGGCUUCACGCAUGCUACAAUGGCCGGUACAAAGGGCUGCAAUACCGGAGGUGGAGCGAAUCCCAAAAACCGUCCCAGUUCGAUUGAGGUCUGCAACUCGACCUCAUGAAGUCGGAGUCGCUAGUAAUCGCAGCAGCACGCU
Molecule: ribosomal RNA, 489 nt
Filed under: Microbacterium sp.
Lineage: Bacteria; Bacillati; Actinomycetota; Actinomycetes; Micrococcales; Microbacteriaceae
Description: bacterial SSU rRNA
Rfam family: Bacterial small subunit ribosomal RNA
Source: RNAcentral